CAGUAGUCACGAGUUUGAUCCUGGCUCAGGAUGAACGCUGGCGGUAUGCCUUACACAUGCAAGUCGAACGAGACCUUCGGGUCUAGUGGCGCACGGGUGCGUAACGCGUGGGAAUCUGCCCUUUGCUUCGGAAUAACAGUUAGAAAUGACUGCUAAUACCGGAUAAUGUCUUCGGACCAAAGAUUUAUCGCCUUUAGAUGGGCCCGCGUUGGAUUAGCUAGUUGGUGGGUAAAGGCCUACCAAGGCGACGAUCCAUAGCUGGUCUGAGAGGAUGAUCAGCCACACUGGGACUGAGACACGGCCCAGACUCCUACGGGAGGCAGCAGUGGGGAAUAUUGGACAAUGGGCGAAAGCCUGAUCCAGCAAUGCCGCGUGAGUGAUGAAGGCCUUAGGGUUGUAAAGCUCUUUUACCCGAGAUGAUAAUGACAGUAUCGGGAGAAUAAGCUCCGGCUAACUCCGUG
This 461-nucleotide ribosomal RNA is filed under the name uncultured bacterium. RNAcentral describes it as "bacterial SSU rRNA". It matches the Rfam family "Bacterial small subunit ribosomal RNA", at positions 1 to 507 of the family's 1533-position model. The record is from RNAcentral.